AAUGUUAUUAGAGUGUUUAAUUCCCUAUUCAUCCCACAGGACUCGGUUUUUUUGACCAGAAAUAACCAAGAAAGCAGUUUGGUGCAGGUCAUCUGGGACACCAUGCAUACUUGAUUGUGAGAGGAUUUUUGUGAAUUCGAACAUCUUCCUUUCAUAAAUGAAGGGAACAGAUCACGUGACUUGUUGACACUCUGAGGUUUGAUGAUUUCUUUUUGUCAUGAGAGCAAUUUCCGGCCGUUAAAAUUAGGUUCAGUUUGGCUCACAGCCCUAGAAAAAAGAAUACUUUUUACCAAAAUUACCAGUUCUACUAGCAGCUAGACUGUUGUCAAUCAAAGAUGACGAAGCCGACCGAGGUGAUGUUUUCGACUCCAGUAAUUGAGUUAAUGUUGGCGAAUCUGUGAACAGAUUUCAGAAUUGAACGAUGUAGUAUGAAAAAACGCACCAUUUCCUUUGAUCUGAAACUCUUCUAUUAAGUUCUCAUGUUCUUGCAACAGACCACAAUUAACAACAGAAAAAUUAUUUUAAUUGUAGAUAGGAGACAGGGUAAAAUUAGAUGAUUAGUGAAGCUGAACAAAUGUAGAUAAAAUAUAGAGUCAAGUCAAAAACAGAAUGACACACAAUUUGUUUUUACUUUUUUUCUCCUUCUUCUCCUUCUCUUAGUUGCUCUCAUGAUUGCUUUGGAGAGACAAUUAAUAUUGAGCAAGUCAAUAUUUGCUGCCACUUGGCAGUGACAAACUUAAAAAAAAGCAUCCCAUGGAGAAUAGGCCUUAAUCUGAGUAUUUAGAGAUCAGAGUUUGAUCUUAACAUUAUAAAAUAUCAAGAUUAAACUCUGGGACACACUCUGCAAGCCUGACAGCAAAAAUUUAGAUCUAAUGAGGAGGGAGUUUUUACCAUUAGAAUAAUGAGGAAUGGCAGGAGCAGAGUUGAGAAGAUUUGAUAUUGUUGGAGUUGAUGAAAGACUGGAUCGCUGGAGAGGUGAUGGAGAUUGAAGCAGACUAGUCAAUAGAGGCGAGGUAGGAGUUGAUGCUGGUUUUGUUUCUUGUGGAAUCUGAAAAGAAAAAUAAAAGAAAUAAGAUUUGGAGAGGUCGUGUGUCGAGUGCGGUUAUCAUAAAAACAUCCUGAUUUGUUAGCACCCUUUUUAAGAAAACUGCAAAAUAGAGUCAGGGAUCUUUCAUACUGACUACAGGCCACUUAAAAGUCAAGGUGUCUUUGAGCUGAUCUUGCAGUAUCACACCCUUCCCCCCUUCCAGUAAACAGGACAGCAGAUUAGUAAUUGAAGGUUCAAUUAUUAGUUCAAAUAUUAGUUAGUAGGCUCCUUUGUGUUUGUCAACUGAACAGGACAAGACAAAGGUGAAAUGGAUUUAUGUGAUUGGUCAGCUGUCACUUGAGCGACCAUUGGCGUCAUUACAAGCUCCUUAUCGAGCUGGAUAAUCGACUAGCU
Molecule: long non-coding RNA, 1441 nt
Filed under: Bemisia tabaci
Lineage: Eukaryota; Metazoa; Arthropoda; Insecta; Hemiptera; Aleyrodidae
Description: lncRNA ENSSWEETPG006656
Source: RNAcentral